GCAGUCGAGCGAAUGGAUUAAGAGCUUGCUCUUAUGAAGUUAGCGGCGGACGGGUGAGUAACACGUGGGUAACCUGCCCAUAAGACUGGGAUAACUCCGGGAAACCGGGGCUAAUACCGGAUAACAUUUUGAACUGCAUGGUUCGAAAUUGAAAGGCGGCUUCGGCUGUCACUUAUGGAUGGACCCGCGUCGCAUUAGCUAGUUGGUGAGGUAACGGCUCACCAAGGCAACGAUGCGUAGCCGACCUGAGAGGGUGAUCGGCCACACUGGGACUGAGACACGGCCCAGACUCCUACGGGAGGCAGCAGUAGGGAAUCUUCCGCAAUGGACGAAAGUCUGACGGAGCAACGCCGCGUGAGUGAUGAAGGCUUUCGGGUCGUAAAACUCUGUUGUUAGGGAAGAACAAGUGCUAGUUGAAUAAGCUGGCACCUUGACGGUACCUAACCAGA
Molecule: ribosomal RNA, 449 nt
Filed under: Bacillus sp. (in: firmicutes)
Lineage: Bacteria; Bacillati; Bacillota; Bacilli; Caryophanales; Bacillaceae
Description: bacterial SSU rRNA
Rfam family: Bacterial small subunit ribosomal RNA
Source: RNAcentral